UUAAGUUCAGCGCGUAUUCCUACCUGAUCUGAGGUCAAUAAAUGAAGAAGCCAAGAGCACAGGGCACGAGGCGGGCUUUAGGUGCAGCACCAUGAUUGCACCGGAGAAGCAACGAGUUGGACGAACCUAGAACGUUGUGUAAACCGGGCGGCGGGCCGCACCAAUGCAUUUGAGGACAGCGAUCCCAGAAGGUUCGCAGG
Molecule: unclassified non-coding RNA, 200 nt
Filed under: Taphrina sp.
Lineage: Eukaryota; Fungi; Ascomycota; Taphrinomycetes; Taphrinales; Taphrinaceae
Description: partial internal transcribed spacer 2
Source: RNAcentral